RNAcentral lists this long non-coding RNA (397 nucleotides) under Brassica napus (rape). RNAcentral's name for it is "long non-coding RNA (BNAP_LNC014531)". Lineage: Eukaryota; Viridiplantae; Streptophyta; Magnoliopsida; Brassicales; Brassicaceae. The record is from RNAcentral.
CAGCUUCUCACAUCGCGAUUCAUCCUGGUUUGAUUAGAAUGACGAAGAACUUGUUAUAUUCCCAAACAGGAAAACUGAAAUCACCUGAUUUGAAAGUGGGAUAACUUCUUCACCUUAACUCCUAUGAGAUUUAUUCAACUUCCUGGGAUUAUCCACUACUUUAUGUAUCCAAAUACAGCUUCUCACAUCGCGAUUCAUCGUGGUUUGAUUAGAAUGACGAAGAACUUGUCAUAUUCCCAAAUAGGAAAACUGGGAUCACCUGAUUUGAAAGUGAGAUAGCUUCUUCAUCCUAACUCCUAUGAGAUUUAUUCACUUUUGAGGGGAUUUUCACUACUUUAUGUAUCCAAAUACAGCUUCUUACAUCGCGAUUCAUCAUGGUUUGAUUAGAAUGACGAAG